UUAGUUGCCAUGGGAACCUAGUAACAGACUCUCCUGGCCCUCCUUCCCCGCCCCUUCCUCGAGCGCGGGGUGGGGCUUCGGGACCCCGGGGAUGAGCCGGGCCAGGUCCCGCCCCUCCGCGCAGGCCUCUGGGGGGCCGGGGCUUACCAUGUAGGGGAGGGGAGAUCUAUCCACAUACCUCAGGUGGCCAUGGUGGAGGUGCAGCUGGAGAGCGACCACGAGUACCCACCAGGCCUGCUGGUGGCCUUCAGUGCCUGCACCACCGUGCUGGUGGCUGUGCACCUCUUUGCACUCAUGGUCUCCACGUGUCUGCUGCCCCACAUUGAAGCUGUGAGCAACAUCCACAACCUCAACUCUGUCCACCAGUCGCCACACCAGAGACUGCACCGCUACGUGGAGCUGGCCUGGGGCUUCUCCACUGCCCUGGGCACCUUUCUCUUCCUUGCUGAAGUUGUCCUGGUUGGUUGGGUCAAGUUUGUGCCCAUUGGGGCUCCCUUGGACACACCGACCCCCAUGGUGCCCACAUCCCGGGUGCCUGGGACUCUGGCACCAGUGGCUACCUCCCUUAGUCCAGCUUCCAAUCUCCCACCAUCCUCUGCGUCUGCAGCACCGUCCCAGGCUGAGCCAGCCUGCCCACCCCGGCAAGCCUGUGGUGGUGGUGGGGCCCAUGGGCCAGGCUGGCAAGCAGCCAUGGCCUCCACAGCCAUCAUGGUACCCGUGGGGCUCGUGUUUGUGGCCUUUGCUCUGCAUUUCUACCGCUCCUUGGUGGCACACAAGACAGACCGCUACAAGCAGGAACUAGAGGAACUGAAUCGCCUGCAGGGGGAGCUGCAGGCUGUGUGAGGCUGGUGUUAGCCACCGCUCACUGCAAGCACUGCCUCCCUCCGGGGUCUGUAAGAGGCCGCAGGGGCAUACAGACCUCAUCCCCCCAUCCCCUGGCUGGAGCCACUUCCAGUGGCCACUCUCAGGCAGAGUUCAGAUUCCUGCCCGCAGGGUCCUCUGGGCUGGGCCUUGGGGCAGCUCCCACAUUCCCAGGGAUUUUCCCCAUCAGUCUGUCCCUUGGGUUUUGCAAGCUACUCUGCACUUGGGCUGGCCUCAGUUGAAGGAUCAUGCAGUAGAUAGAGGGGAGGCAGGGAGAGCUUGUGGGACCUUCAGUGCUGACUUUAGCCACCAUUUCCAUUCCUAUACAGGAUGUGAAGGUCAGAAGGCAGCCAAUUGUUGGUUUAAUUUUUUUUUUUUUUUUUUGAGACAGUCUGUUUCCCAGGCUGGAGUGUAGUGAUACAGUCACAGCUCACUGUAGCCUCGACCUUCCAGGCUCAAA
RNAcentral lists this small RNA (1321 nucleotides) under Pan troglodytes (chimpanzee). Its description in RNAcentral is "processed transcript". Lineage: Eukaryota; Metazoa; Chordata; Mammalia; Primates; Hominidae. The record is from RNAcentral.